Molecule: ribosomal RNA, 587 nt
Filed under: uncultured bacterium
Lineage: Bacteria
Description: bacterial SSU rRNA
Rfam family: Bacterial small subunit ribosomal RNA
Source: RNAcentral
CCUACGGGAGGCAGCAGUGGGGAAUUUUGGACAAUGGGCGCAAGCCUGAUCCAGCCAUUCCGCGUGAGUGAAGAAGGCCUUCGGGUUGUAAAGCUCUUUCGGCAGGGAAGAAACGGUGCGGGCCAAUACCCCGCACUAAUGACGGUACCUGAAGAAGAAGCACCGGCUAACUACGUGCCAGCAGCCGCGGUAAUACGUAGGGUGCGAGCGUUAAUCGGAAUUACUGGGCGUAAAGCGUGCGCAGGCGGUUUCGUAAGACAGAUGUGAAAUCCCCGGGCUCAACCUGGGAACUGCGUUUGUGACUGCGAGACUCGAGUGCGGCAGAGGGGGGUGGAAUUCCACGUGUAGCAGUGAAAUGCGUAGAGAUGUGGAGGAACACCGAUGGCGAGGGCAGCCCCCUGGGUCGACACUGACGCUCAUGCACGAAAGCGUGGGGAGCAAACAGGAUUAGAUACCCUGGUAGUCCACGCCCUAAACGAUGCCAACUAGGUGUUGGGGAAGGAGACUUCCUUAGUACCGAAGCUAACGCGUGAAGUUGGCCGCCUGGGGAGUACGGUCGCAAGAUUAAAACUCAAAGGAAUUGACGG